Molecule: ribosomal RNA, 275 nt
Filed under: uncultured bacterium
Lineage: Bacteria
Description: partial 16S ribosomal RNA
Rfam family: Bacterial small subunit ribosomal RNA
Source: RNAcentral
GCGUGAGUGAAGAAGGCCCUAGGGUUGUAAAACUCUUUCAGUGGUGAAGAUGAUGACGGUAACCACAGAAGAAGCUCCGGCUAAAUUCGUGCCAGCAGCCGCGGUAAUACGAAUGGGGCGAGCGUUGUUCGGAAUCACUGGGCUUAAAGCGUACGUAGGCGGUUUUUCAAGUCAGGAGUGAAAUCCCGGGGCUCAACCCCGGAACUGCUCUUGAAACUGAAAGACUAGUGUCCCGGAGAGGUUGGCGGAAUUCCGAGUGUAGAGGUGAAAUUCGC